RNAcentral lists this ribosomal RNA (468 nucleotides) under uncultured bacterium. RNAcentral's name for it is "partial 16S ribosomal RNA". It matches the Rfam family "Bacterial small subunit ribosomal RNA", at positions 28 to 507 of the family's 1533-position model. The record is from RNAcentral.
GACGAACGCUGGCGGCGUGCUUAACACAUGCAAGUCGAACGGAAAGGCCCUUGUUUUGUGGGGUGCUCGAGUGGCGAACGGGUGAGUAACACGUGAGUAACCUGCCCUUGACUUUGGGAUAACUUCAGGAAACUGGGGCUAAUACCGGAUAGGAGCUCCUGCUGCAUGGUGUGGGUUGGAGAGUUUCGGCGGUUGGGGAUGGACUCGCGGCUUAUCAGCUUGUUGGUGGGGUAGUGGCUUACCAAGGCUUUGACGGGUAGCCGGCCUGAGAGGGUGACCGGCCACAUUGGGACUGAGAUACGGCCCAGACUCCUACGGGAGGCAGCAGUGGGGAAUAUUGCACAAUGGGCGGAAGCCUGAUGCAGCAACGCCGCGUGCGGGAUGACGGCCUUCGGGUUGUAAACCGCUUUCGCCUGUGACGAAGCGUGAGUGACGGUAAUGGGUAAAGAAGCACCGGCUAACUACGUG